GUCUGUAUAGGAUGAUGAGGAAAUCAACCUCUCCAAAGUGGAAUUGUGGGGGGGUCUGGGGCCCCCACCCCCGGUAAUUCCCCCGCCCCAAUCGCAUAUAAAAAUUGUUUCGCUUAAAAAAAUCUCAUUUUAAUUUCUGCUGCAUUGCUGGUGUCCCUCUGGGGUCUGUGCAUGUCGCUCCUUCCGGACCGAUUUUCUUUGGCUGACUGCUUACUUUGAGAAAAUGGGAGUGCUCAAAGCAGGCUUUCCCCUUAAAAAAUUUAACUGGGAAUAAUAAACUAAGACUUUGAUUCCAUUUUGUUGGUUUUACGUACCAAAAUAAUGGUCAAUAGGAACAGUUGGGGGCAAUCGUAUUUAACUGUCAUAGGUGAAAUUCUGGGAUUUGUUAAAUACUAACUACAGGUAAAAUUUUUGCAAUGGAUGUUUUCAUAACUCUAGAACAAAAUUUACGGGAUAUAUUAACAUUAAUCAAGAACGAAAGUUAGGGGAUCGAAGAA
This 497-nucleotide ribosomal RNA is filed under the name Theileria annulata. RNAcentral's name for it is "partial 18S ribosomal RNA". It matches the Rfam family "Eukaryotic small subunit ribosomal RNA", at positions 503 to 1005 of the family's 1831-position model. The record is from RNAcentral. Lineage: Eukaryota; Apicomplexa; Aconoidasida; Piroplasmida; Theileriidae.